This 29119-nucleotide long non-coding RNA is filed under the name Triticum aestivum (bread wheat). RNAcentral's name for it is "long non-coding RNA (TAES_LNC005136)". The record is from RNAcentral. Lineage: Eukaryota; Viridiplantae; Streptophyta; Magnoliopsida; Poales; Poaceae.
CACCACCUUUCCGACGUGCUGACCCCACAUGGCAGUGACUGGCCAACGCAGGGACCGCCGAGCCCGUCGGUCCGCACCGAGCUUUGCACCCGCCGGUCCGGUCCCUGAAAAGAGGACCGCGGCACUGCUCGGUCCGGUCCGGUCCGGACCGCCGCCGGCCGGUCCAAACAGCAGCUCGGUCAAGGACCGGACCGGCCCGGACCGUGUCCACCCUGAGACGGAGUGCAGCUAGUCAUAUAUAGUAUCUAGCAUUAUAGCUUGUUCUAUGUACGUACGUUGUGGUGGUGAGUAACAUGCAGCAGCAGCUAAUCACCCUUCCAACGCCUCUCUUCCCGUAGUAAUUGGACACGCCCUUGGUUUGAAACUUCAGAUUGAAAUUGUAUGUGGGGACUGGGUUGGAUGGGUUUGGCUUGAAAAUACGUACAGUUUGGAUUGGUUUGGAUUAUAGCAUUUGCAGUUUGGUCUGGUCUGGUCUGAUUGUUGGACUUAUACUUGUAUGGAUUGGGCUGGGUUUAAUCUGGAUUACAAACUAUUCCCAGGUUUAACCAUGCAUAACAGGCCAUGACAAGAAAAUCUUUUUGUUUACUAAGACACAGCACAGCCCACUCCUACUACUCCACGCCAACCAGAUCAUUGUUGUUGGGGUUGAUCAAAUUGCACCAUGACCCCGGAACCAGGCGUUCCAAAUGCCUGUGACCCAGGCUUGCAGUUCACCAGCCGGCAUGUAGAAAUGGUACAGGCAGCGCUGGAAGACCUGGCACAGAGAAAGGAAAACACCUGUGGCGCUGGGGAACUGCAAUGGAAUGCAAAUGAGGUAUGUCACCACAUAGUAGUCGUAUCGUUCGAUAAUGUAUCUUCGCAGCUAGAGCUGGUGCAAUAUAAUUACGGAAGAACGGAAGUAAGGCAGAAACAGAAGCUAGAUUGCCAUACCAGGGGCAGAUAGGUGAUUUUUUUUGCGAGGAUGGAAGAGACAGGUGCUUACGACGCGUUUGGUUCACGAUAUUCUCACUGUCUUCCGAAUACACCGUCUCACGAUUACGUUACCAGCGUUUGUUUCGGCCACUUCGGUUUCAGCUCCCGUGUAAUCGGAAAACAUCUUUCACAAAACCGAAAACACCCGAUACAGCCUGGUAUCCAAUACCGCGCAUCCUGAUCGUUUUCUUUCUGAUCGUUUUCUUCACCAUGAGGACGAAGGAGCAGCGACGAUGAUCUCCCUCGCCAUGAGCAGUACCAUCGCCGUCCCUCUGUUUGCCUUCGCCGCCGAGCGCCGCCGAUCUCCAUUUUUCUCCGCCACUCGAGUUUCGCUGAUAUCCAUUCGCCUCCGCCGCUGAGCGCCGCUGAUAUCCAUUCGCCUCCGCCGCCGAGCGCGGCCGAUCUCCAUCGCCUCCGCCAUCGUGGACGGCGCCGCCGAUCUCUCUUCGCCGCAGCCGUGGGCAGCGCCGCCGUGAGAAGUAGCAAUUGUUGUGAAUGGCCAGUGAUCUCAUUUACUGUCACGAGCCAUCGGAGCAGUCGUUCGUCCUCCAAUCGUCCGGCAUCGGUCAACAAGGCUGAUGAUGGUAUUCCACGGCUUUCUACUCCCUUGCGUGAACCAAACACAUCUCGUAUUCAACUACCUCUAAUCUAAUACUGUGUAUUCUCAUUACAAUAGUGAAUACGAUUACCUGAGUUCCAACCAAACGCGUCGUUAGUUGCUUACCAGCAUAAGAUUGUCUUUGAUGAUUCUUGCGUAUGUUAAGUCAGGAAGCGUUCCUCCUCCUUGAUGAGGAGCCGCGUUUGGUUUAUAUUGAUGUGUGGCAAAUAGCCAUGCCUUGGCGUACAAGACGAGAGACCCAUCGUAUGAGAUCAGGUCGGUACAGAGGAUAACUACGAGAGAGAGAAAGAGAGGAUAUGUUGGUUGAGAUUACAAAGUGGAGAUAAGGAAAACUUAAACAUAACUUUCUAACACCCACGCCAAAUCGCACCACCGGAUACACACCAUUUUUUAUGGUGUAUGGCGCAGAGGCAGUUCUGCCCUGCGACAUAAUUCAUGACUCACCUAGAGUGCGCAUGUACGAAGAAAGAGAAGCCGAGCUUGAUCGGCAGGACAACUUGGACGCCCUGGAGGAAGAGCGCGACGUGGCAAAAGCCCAUUUCGCAUUUUAUCAACAGCAGGCCCGAAGAUAUCAAAGCAGAGAAGUACAGGCCAAAAAUUACAAUGUUGGCGAACUAGUUCUACGCCUGCCGGAUAAGAAAAAGGACAAACUCAAGACCAAGUGGGAAGGUCCAUUCAUAAUCGACCAAGUCCUGACUGGCGGGGCGUACUGCCUGCGAGAUGCGUCGGAUAACCGACUCGAGCCGAACCCGUGGAACGCCACCCGUCUCCGAAGAUUCUAUGCCUAGCGCCGGACUCUGUGUUCGUCUCCUUCCUCUGUCCAUUUUUUUUGCAUUUUUCUGUCUUACAUUUCUCUCCUUCCCCUCUUUUCUUUUAUAGCCCUUAAAGGCUUAUCUAGUGACGCGCCACUCGCGCUCAUUAAACCUGGGGGCUUCUUUAACAGAAGCUUAUUUAUAUGGGCUUCACGCCCAACACAUGCGUCAAACUUCCGCAUGUACCUUUUUCUUCACCAUUAUAUGCAUCGAUAUGACUUAAGUUUUGGCCAAGCUGGGUUGCCUGGCUCCUGUGCUUACCCCUACGUUCCCGAUUGUUCGGCUAGGUGGUAAAGGGAGCACCUCUGCGAUUGUUACUGCCGGGUCAGCCGGAUGUGUACCUCAGACUGGGUGAAGCCGAAAGCUAGCGUUCUUAAGGGAAUGUUCGGUCGGUGAGAUAUAAGAUGAUCUUUUUUAUAUGCGCCCCUAGAUGCUUUUUUCUGCGUCUUUUUAUGCAGUCCGGACAUGCACUUUAGGGCAUGCCUCCCAGCGAAAGAAACCCCUAACGGAACUAUUCUCUCUGGAAGAUGUUUCUUACUAACCAUGUAAUAUAACAUAACUAGUUGGGCACUUGUCUGAUAAAGCACUAAUGACCCCUACGCCUGGUCUCCACGCAUACCACGGUUCUUAUAUAACCGCUAUGGUAUUCGGACACACUCCGGACCGUCAAGUCCCGAGGUCGAAGCGAAAAGGUCGGCAACGACAAACGAUCUACAAUCCGGCUAGAAGGCAUUACACAUGUCAAUUCAAAAUUACAUAGUCAUCCUGACUGAUUGUAUUCCUCUUCUAUACCAUCUAACAGGCUGUCUAAUUUACAGUCCUGCUGGGAAUACUUCGCGGCCAACUCUACUUGGCCGUAUACUAAGCUCACAGGGAUCUCCUUCCCGUCAGGCCCCACUGGUCCGACCUCGGCCAUUGGUUUGGGUCAGACUUCGUAAAACGGGUCUUCACCAUGGCCCAGGCUUCCCUAGCUCCUUGUCGGCAGGUCGAUAUCUUCCACAAACGGAAGCGCCGCCGAGCUCCCUUCAGCUUCUCCGCAAGCUCUCCAAGUCCCUCGGGCAUGGAGUGGGCAGGCCAUAAGGCUUGGGCAACACCUCGCAUCGCCUGCCGAAUUCGCUCGUGCAGUUGCAUGAGUUCGGGAAAAAGGUCACCCAUAGAACCGGGCAUCUCCUCUGCAGGACGACCUGUGAGCAUACCUACAGACAUUACUCUGUUAGUCUACUUCUUCGCCGAACUCUUUUUUCAAAGUUCGUUCAAGCACUUACGAAAAAUGCCGCGUCGAAGCCGCUGAUUCUCCUUCGUGGAGUCCGACAGCUGGCCACGAACAUCUUUAAGUUCGACGUCCAGCUUGGUGUUGGCAUCCUGAAGAUCAUUCUUCUCUCGCCUCACCCUUGUCAACAUACUCUCACCGGCCUUUAGCUUGCGUAAGAGUUGUUGUUUCUCCGGAUCGAGUCCGGCGCCAUCUGCAAUAUGAUUUGUCAGAUAUACACCCAUACCGCACAAUACUAAUCUUUCGAAGUGUAUCUUACCUGAGGGGGUCUCUUUGGACUCCCCUGCUGCGGCUAGUGCGGCCUCUAGUUGGGCCCUGCACUUUUCCAGCUCCUGGGACAGUACAGUAUUCUUCUCUGUAAGAACCUGCAUAUUAAAAGAUCCUUAAAUCAGUUGCUCUAAUUGUUUCAAGUCUCGGGGGCUACUAGUAUAUAUAUAUUUGACCAAAAUUUUCUUACCCGUAUGUCUUUUACAUACUGCUCCGUGGCUCUGGCUAAACCAUUUUGAGCGGCACGGAGGUACGCAUCUCCCGAAUUAAAGGCAUCUAAAGCCUCUUGGGAGAAACAAGCGUCGCGUAGAACUGUCCGGCGACGCCUGUGGUUCAUGGCACUCUCCACUUCAGAAUUUGUGGCAGACAGCUUGUCCUCAUCCUCUGUCGGAGGAGCGUCCGGUACGUGCCUUGUGCUCGCCUCCGCUUCCUGGCCAGCCGUUGGAGCCUGGCUGGUGGAGGCGCGAUUGGCAACCUCUUCGGAUGUAGUCCGGCGAGGUCUCUUCGUUCUGAAGAUAGCACGAACGUUAAUAUGCCCUGACAGAAUAACACCAGGGAAACAGAGGGUGCGCUAUACCUUUGCGCCGGCAUCUCAGUCCGGACUUCAUUCCUUUUUGCCCCACGGGGCCCUGCGGCCCCUCGUUGGCUGGCCGCCGCAGGUUCGGCCUACUGCCUUGGAAAACUCCCCAGCAAAACACGGUUGUCGUCAGAAACACCGGAAUAUGCGAGAGUGCAAUCUCUCACGAGGGAAUGAGACUCCGGCUUCUGUCACCUCGGAGGCCGGGAUUAACCCUGGGUAAUCAGCCGUGAUGGCUACCAAGGUAUUGUCCUUGCUUAGCUGAUGGAACACCCCGUCGAUAAGCUCCACCGAUAUGUCCGGAUCCUCUUCGGAGUUCGGAUCGAGGGACCGUUCUGGGUCCUCGGGUUGUGGAGGGCGGCUGUUUAUAUCCUUUACCUCCUGUCGCAGUUCCUGCACUGAGGUCGUUAGACUACAUAUCUAACCGUGGGAGUAUAGAACAAACAGGCAAGCGCAAUUAUUCACUUACCCAACUUGGAGGAUCGUACAUAGUAAAUCCGGCCUGCAGAUUGACGCGGAGGAAUUCCUCCUUUUCUCCCUUAUACAAAGAGGAUAAGAUCUUUACUAAGGCGACGGCUGAGUCCGGCCCCUUACGACCGUAACGUGUGGCGUCAUCCUCCCCGUUGAAAUCCCACAUGGGGUGGACUCUAUAUUGAAGCGGCUGCACCCCCCGCAUAAUGCAUGCGACCAUGACUCCAAUCAUGGUUUGUCCGGAAUGAGCCAACAGUCUUAUCCGGCCCAUCAGGUAAAGGACGUCUCUGUCACUUUCUCUUUGAGAGCUCCGCGGACGCCGGCUCAAGCGUUUCUUCAAUGGAGCACUGUUGAACUCAGGGAGACCGACCCGGAUAGGGUCCGGUAGCGGGACGUCAUCUAUGUAAAACCAUUCUGAAGGCCAGUCCUCGGACGCCUUCUUUGGGGUUCGGGAUAUGUAUCCGGUCCUGGCGAUGCGCCAUACUUCGGCUCCGUCCACUUGAUAUAUAGACCCCUUUUCAGAACGGAGCACCAGGCAGAAUAACCUCUUCCACAACGCGAAAUGAGCCUCCACGCCUAAAAAUAGCUCGCAAAGGGUGACGACACCUGCGAUGUGCAAUAAGGAGGCGGGCAUGAGAUGGUGCAGCUGGAGGCCGUAGAACUCCAGAAGCCCGCGGAGAAACGGGUGAAUUGGAAAUCCCAGUCCCCUUAUUAGAUAGGGGACGAGGCACACCCGCUCUCCUUUAGAAGGAUUGGGGGUGCUCUCUGCUUGUUUUCCGCCAUUAUAGGUGGCGAGACCGGCUCGGACCGGGACCAUGUAUGCCUGAGGGAGGAAUCCCUUGGCCUGAAGUGACGCUAACUUGCUAUGCGGGAUGGUGCAACUCUCCCAGUCCCCGGGUUUGGGACCAGAGGGGCGAGGGGAGGAGCUGUGACGGCUGGUCAUGUUGGAAUAGACCUUUGCUGGAAGCGCUCUGAUGAUAACUCGCGGAGAGGAGAAGAUGUGGUUUGGACCUAAAUCCCCAUCCCGUUAAAUAGGCGGCUCGUUUAUACGGCUAGCAAUGUGGAUGUAAAAACGCCCCCGCUUUUCGCAUUUGUUUGAACACGUGGAAGACGGCCAUUAUUGGGCAUGGAAGCCGAGGAGGACUACAUUACAGAAAUCGGACAUUAUUCCUACAGGUACGCAAGAUUUGGAGAAGAACCCGCCUUGCAAUGCCGAACAAAUCUGUGCGCCGGACUCAUCGUCAUUGAAGCCUGGUUCGGGGGCUACUGAGGGAGUCCUGGAUUAGGGGGUGUUCGGGUAGCCGGACUAUACCUUCAGCCGGACUCCUGGACUAUGAAGAUACAAGAUUGAAGACUUCGUCCCGUGUCCGGAUGGGACUUUCCUUGGCGUGGAAGGAAAGCUUGGCGAUGCGGAUAUUCAAGAUCUCCUACCAUUGCAACCGACUCUGUGUAACCCUAACCCUAUCCGGUGUCUAUAUAAACGGGAGGGUUGUAGUCCGUAGGCAAUUGACUCCAUACACAACAAUCAUGCCAUAGGCUAGCUUCUAGUGUUUAGCCUCCUUGAUCUCACGGUAGAUCUACUCUUGUACUACCCAUAUCAUCAAUAUUAAUCAAGCAGGAGUAGGGUAUUACCUCCAUCGAGAGGGCCCGAACCUGGGUAAAACAAAGUGUCCCCUGUCUCCUGUUACCAUCCGGCCUAGACGCACAGUUCGGGACCCCCUACCCGAGAUCCGCCGGUUUUGACACCGACAGGAAGGAAAAGGCCCCAUAUAGUCAAAUCCCCAAACAUCAAAUGGUUCAAUAACGAGUGAAUAGUUCAUAGGAAUUUCUUGACGUCUACUAAUAUUACCAAUUCUUUGACAUUCAUCACAAGAUAAGACAAACUUGCAGGCAUCCUUGAAGAGAGUAGGCCAAUAAAAACCAGAUUGUAAUACAUUAUGUGCAGUCCUAUCUCCAGCAUGGUGUCCUCCAUAAGCUUCAGAGUGACACUUGCGUAGGAUCUAUUCAUGUUCAUGCUCAGGUACACAACAUCUAAUAACACCAUCUACUCCUUCUUUAUAAAGAUGUGGGUCAUCCCAAAAGUAAUGCCUCAAAUCAUAGAAGAACUUUUUCUUUUGCUGGUAUGUGAAUCUAGGUGGUAUAAAUUUAGCAACAAUGUAAUUAGCAUAAUCAGCAUAACGUGGAGCAGUAUGAGAAGCAUUUAUGACAUUUAAUUGCUCAUCAGGAAAGAUAUCAUCAAUAGGUAGUGGGUCAUCAAGCACAUUUUCUAACCUAGACAAGUUGUCCGCAACGGGGUUCUCAGCUCCCUUUCUAUCAACAGUAUGUAAGUAAAAUUCUUGUAGCAAGAGAACCCAUCUAAUAAGUCUAGGUUUAGCAUCUUUCUUUUUCAUAAGAUAUUUAAUAGCAGCAUGAUCAGUGUGAAUAGUUACUUUAGAGUCAACAAUAUAAGGUCUGAACUUAUCACAAGCAAAUACAACUGCUAAGAAUUCUUUUUCAGUAGUAGCAUAAUUUCUUUGAGCAUUGUCUAGGGUUUUACUAGCAUAUUGAAUAACGUUUAAUUUCUUAUCAACUCUUUGCCCUAGAACAGCACCUACAGCAUAAUCACUAGCAUCACACAUAAUUUCGAAGGGUAAAUUCCAAUCAGGUGGCUGAACAAUAGGUGCAGAGAUCAAUGCUUUCUUAAGUAUUUCAAAUGCUUCUACACAAUCAUCAUCAAAGACAAAUGGUAUAUCUUUUUGUAAUAAAUUAGUCAGAGGCCGAGAAAUUUUGGAGAAGUCCUUAAUGAACCUCCUAUAAAAACCGGCAUGACCAAGGAAACUUCUUAUACCUUUGAUGUCCUUGGGACAUGGCAUCUUUUCGAUAGCAUUAACCUUGGCUUUAUCAACUUCAAUACCUCUUUCAGAAACUUUAUGCCCCAAGACAAUACCUUCAUUAACCAUAAAGUGGCACUUUUCCCAACUCAAGACAAUAUUAGUUUAUUCACAUCUCUGCAAAACUCGAUCAAGGUUGCUUAAGCAAUCACCAAAAGAAGAUCCAUAGACGGAGAGAUCAUCCAUGAAAACCUCACAAAUCUUUUCACAAAAGUCAGAGAAUAUAUCCAUCAUGCAUCUUUGAAAGGUAGCAGGUGCAUUACAUAAACCAAAAGGCAUACGUCUAUAAGCAAAAGUACCAAAAGGGCAAGUAAAAUUAGUCUUUGAUUGAUCCUUGGCUGAUACGGGUAUUUGAGAGAAACCAGAAUAACCAUCUAGAAAGCAAAAAUGAGUAUUUUUUUAUAAUCUUUCUAGCAUUUGAUCGAUAAAAGGUAAGGGGUAAUGAUCCUUUUUAGUGGCCUUAUUUAAUUUGUGGAAAUCAAUUACCAUCCUAUAACCUGUAAUAAUUCUUUGAGGAGUCAAUUCAUCUUUAUCAUUAGGAACGACAGUAAUACCUCCUUUCUUAGGGACACAAUGGACAGGACUUACCCACGGACUAUCAGCAACAGGAUAGAUUAUACCUGCCUCAAGGAGCUUUAGUAUUUCCUUUCUUACCACUUCUUUCAUUUUAGGAUUCAGCCGUCGUUGAUGAUCACGAACUGGUUUAGCAUCUUCUUCCAAAUUUAUUUUAUGUUGGCAUAGACUGGGACUAAUGCCCUUAAGAUCACCAAGAGUAUACCCAAUAGCAGCACGGUGCUUCUUCAGAGUUUUCAAUAGUCUCUCCUCCUCAUGCUCUGAAAGGUUAGCACUAAUAAUAACAUGAUAUAUCUUCCUCUCAUUAAGAUAAGCAUAUUUAAGAGUAUCAGGCAAUGGUUUAAGCUCAAACACGGGAUCACCCUUGGGUGGAGGAGGAUCCCCUAGGAUUUCAACAAGCAAAUUAUGUUUCAGAAUAGGUUCCUGUUUAAAGAAUACUUCAUCUAUUUCCCUUCUUUCAUUCAUAAACAUAUCAUUUUCAUGGUCUAAUAAAUAUUGUUCUAAAGGAUCACUACGAGGUACGCCAAUAGAAGCAAGACCAAUAAUUUCAUCCUUACUAGGCAAUUCUUCUUCACGGUGUUGUCUACUAAAUUUAGAGAAAUUAAAUUCAUGAGUCAUAUCAUCUAAACCGAUAGUAACAACAUCCCUUUUGCAAUCUAUGGUAGCAUUAACAGUGUUCAAGAAGGGUCUACCAAAUAUAAUGGGACAAAAGCUAUCUUGUGGGGAACCAAGAACAAGAAAAUCAGCAGGAUAUUUAGUUUUCCCACACAAGACUUCAACAUCUCUAACAAUUCCCAUUGGUGAAAUAGUAUCUCUAUUGGCAAGUUUAAUUGUGACAUCAAUAUCUUCUAACUCAACAGGUGCAAUAUCAUGCAUAAUUUCUUUAUAUAGGCUAAUAGGUAUUGCACUAGCACUGGCACACAUAUCACAUAAACCAUGAUAACAAUGAUCUCAUAUUUUAACAGAAAUAACAGGCAUGCCUACCACAGGUCUAGGUUUAUCUUUAGCACAAGGUUUAGCAAUUCUAGCAGUUUCAUCAUAGAAAUAAAUAACAUGCCCAUCAAUAUUAUGAGACAAGAGAUCUUUAACAAUAGCAAUAUCAGGUUCAACUUUAAUUUUCUUGGAAGGUGUAUAAAUUUUAUAUUGCUUUUACGAACCACAGUUAAAGCUUUAGCAUGAUCCUUUAUCCUAACAAGAAAGGGUGGUUUCUCAACAUAAGAAGUAGGAACAAUUGGAUCAUUAUAAGUGAUAAUAUUUUCUUCAACUUUAAUAGGUGCACCUACUUUUACUUCUAUGGGAGGAUGAUAUUUAAACCACUUCUCCUUGGGGAGAUCAACAUAAGUAGCAAAAGAUACACAGAAAGAAGCUACUAUCUCAGAGUCAAGUCCAUAUUUAGUGCUAAAUUUACGGAGAACAUCGGUAUCCAUAAAAGAUUUAACACAAUCAAACUUAGGUGUCAUACCUGACUCCUUCCCUUUGUCGAGGUCCCAAUCUUCAGAGUUGCGUUUAAUUCUUUCCAAUAAAUCCCAUUUGAAUUCAAUAGUCUUCAUCAUAAAAGAGCUAGCACAAGAAGUAUCAAGCAUGGUGCGAUUGCUAUCAGAAAGCUGAGCAUAAAAAUUUUGAAUAAUCAUUUCUCUUGAGAGCUCAUGAUUGGGGCAUGAAUAUGACAUUGAUUUAAUCCUCCCCCAAGCUUGAGUGAUGCUUUCUCCUUCGCGAGGCCAAAAACUAUAUAUAUAAUUGCGAUCACAAUGAACAAGAUGCAUAGGAUAAAACUUCUGAUGAAAUUCCAAUUUCAAUCGUUUGUAGUUCCAUGACCCCAUAUCAUCACAUAGCCUAUACCAUGUCGAUGCAUCUCCCUUCAAAUAUAAAGGGAAGACCUUCUUCUUAACAACAUCUUCGGGUACACCUGCAAGCUUAAAUAAUCCACAAACUUCAUCCACAUAAAUUAGAUGCUCAUCAAGAUGCUUUGUUCCAUCUCCUACAAAAGGAUUAGCUAGCAGUUUUUCUAUCAUACCCGAAGGAAUUUCAAAGCAAACAUUUUCAUUUUCAUUUUCAGUAGGUUGAGGAGAAACUCUUUGCUCUACUGGUCGUGGUGAAGAUACCCCAAACAAGCCCCUCAGAGAAUUACUUUCCAUAGUAACAAGUGACGGUAAAUUUCAUCACACUAUAUAAAUUUUUCCUUACCAAAUUCCACCUACCAAAGGCGCUUCACUCCCUGGCAACGGCACCAGAAAAGAGUCUUGAUGACCCACAAGUAUAGGGGAUCUAUCGUAGUCCUUUUGAUAAGUAAGAGUGUCGAACCCAACGAGGAGCAGAAGGAAAUGAUAAGCGGUUUCCAGCAAGGUAUUCACUGCAAGUACUGAAAUAAGUGGUAACAGGUAGUUUGGUGAUAGGAUAAGUUGUAACGAGCAACAAUUAACAAAAGUAAAUGAAGUGCAGCAAGGUGGCCCAGUCCUUUUUAUAGCAAAGGACAAGCCUGGACAAACUCUUACAUAGAGAAAAGCGCUCCCGAGGACACAUGGGAAUAUCCUCAAGCUAGUUUUCAUCACGUUCAUAUGAUUCGCGUUCGCUACUUUGAUAAUUUGGUAUGUGGGUGGACCGGUGCUUGGGUGCUGCCCUUACUUCGACAAGCAUCCCACUUAUGAUUAACCUCUAUUGCAAGCAUCCGCAACUACAACAAAAGUAUUAAGGUAAACCUAACCAUAGCAUGAAACAUAUGGAUCCAAAUCAGCCCCUGACGAAGCAAUGCAUAAACUAGGGUUUAAGCUUCUGUCACUCUAGCAACCGAUCAUCUACUUAUUACUUCCCAAUGCCUUCCUCUAGUCCCAAAUAAUGGUGAGGUGUCAUGUAGUCGACGUUCACAUAACACCACUAGAGGAGAGACAACAUACAUCUCAUCAAAAUAUCAAACGAAUACCAAAUUCACAUGACUACUAAUAGCAAGACUUCUCCCAUGUCCUCAGGAACAAACGUAACUACUCACAAAGCAUAAACAUGUUCAUAAUCAGAGGGGUAUUAAUAUGCAUAUAGGAUCUGAACAUAUGAUCUUCCACCAAAUAAACCAACUAGCAUAAACUACAAGGAGUAAUUAACACUACUAGCAACCUACUAGUACCAAUCCCGGACUUGGAGACAAGAAUUGGAUACAAGAGAUGAACUAGGGUUUUGAGAGGAGAUGGUGCUGAUGAAGAUGUUGAUGGAGAUUUGCCACUCCCGAUGAGAGGAGCGUUGGUGAUGACGAUGGCGAUGAUUUCCCCCUCCCGGAGGGAAGUUUCCCCGGCAAAACAGCUCUGUCGGAGCACUAGAUUGGAUUCGCCAAGGUUCCGCCUCGUGGCGGCGGAGUUUCGUCUGAGAAGAUGGCUUAUGACUUUUUUCCAUCGAAAUACUUCAUAUAGCAGAAGAUGGCUACCGGAGGGCCACCAGGGGGCCCACGAGGGUGGGGGCGCGCUGGGCGCGCCCCCUACCUCGUGGGCAGGGUGUGGCCCCCCUGGUGAACUUCUUCCGCUGAGUUUUUUUAAUAUAUUCUAAAAACAUCUUCCGUGAAGUUUCAGGACUUUUGGAGCUGUGCAGAAUAGGUCUCUAAUAUUUGCUCCUUUUCCAGCCCAGAAUCCUAGCUGCCGGCAUUCUCCCUCUUUAUGUAAAUCUUAUAAAAUAAGAUAGAAUAGGCAUAAGUAUUGUGACAUAAUGUGUAAUAACUGCCCAUAAUGCAAUAAAUAUCGAUAUAAAAGCAUGAUGCAAAAUGGACGUAUCAGGGCGACGCCAGAGGGAGGAGCGGCCAGGGAGAUUUUGUUGGGUAACGUAGCAGAAAUUCAAAAUUUUCCUACGUGUCACCAAGAUCUAUCUAUGGAGAAACCAACAACGAGGGGAAGGAGAGUGCAUCUACAUACCCUUGUAGAUCGCUAAGCGGAAGCGUUCAAGUGAACGGGGUUGAUGGAGUCGUACUCGUCGUGAUUCAAAUCACCGAUGAUCUAGUGCCGAACGGACAGCACCUCCGCGUUCAACACACGUACAACUUGACGAUGUCUCCCACGCCUUGAUCCAGAAAGGAGAGAGGGAGAGGUUGAGGAAGACUCCAUCCAGCAGCAGCACAACGGCGUGGUGGUGAUGGAGGAGCGUGGCAAUCCUGCAGGGCUUCGCCAAGCACCUACGGGAGAGGAGGAGGUGUCACGGGAGGGAGGGAGGCGCCAAGGGCUCAGGUAUGGAUGCCCUCCCUCCCCUCCACUAUAUAUAGGGGCAGGGGAGAGGGGGAAGGCGCAGCCUUGCCCCUUCCUCCAAGGAAGGGGUGCGGCUAAGAGGGGGGGAGGAGUCCAUCCUCCCCAUGGCACCUCGGAGGUGCCUUCCCCCUUUAGGACUCUCCCCUUUUUCCUAUAUCUUGGUGCAUGGGCCUCUAGGGGCUGGUGCCCUUGGCCCAUGUAGGCCAAGGCGCACCCCCUACAGCCCAUGUGGCCCCCCGGGGCAGGUGGCCCCACCCGGUGGGCCCCCGGGACCCAUCCGGUGGUCCCGGUACAAUACCGAUGACCCCGAAACUUGUCCCGAUGGCCGAAACAUGACUUCCUAUAUAUAAAUCUUUACCUCCGGACCAUUCCGGAACUCCUCGUGACGUCCGGGAUCUCAUCCGGGACUCCGAACAACAUUCGGUAACCACAUACAAUCUUCCUUUAUAACCCUAGCGUCAUCGAACCUUAAGUGUGUAGACCCUACGGGUUCGGGAGACAUGCAGACAUGACCGAGAUGUUCUCCGGUCAAUAACCAACAGCGGGAUCUGGAUACCCAUGUUGGCUCCCACAUGUUCCACGAUGAUCUCAUCGGAUGAACCACGAUGUCAAGGACUCAAUCGAUCCCGUAUACAAUUCCCUUUGUCUAGCGGUAUGGUACUUGCCCGAGAUUCGAUCGUCGGUAUACCGAUACCUUGUUCAGUCUCGUUACCGGCAAGUCUCUUUACUCGUUCCGUAACACAUCAUCCCGUGAUCAACCCCUUGGUCACAUUGUGCACAUUAUGAUGAUGUCCUACCGAGUGGGCCCAGAGAUACCUCUCCGUUUACACGGAGUGACAAAUCCCAAUCUCGAUUCGUGCCAACCCAACAGACACUUUUAGAGAUACCCGUAGUGUACCUUUAUAGCCACCCAGUUACGUUGUGACGUUUGGCACACCCAAAGCACUCCUACGGUAUCCGGGAGUUGCACAAUCUCAUGGUCUAAGGAAAUGAUACUUGACAUUAGAAAAGCUUUAGCAUACGAACUACAUGAUCUUGUGCUAGGCUUAGGAUUGGGUCUUGUCCAUCACAUCAUUCUCCUAAUGAUGUGAUCCCGUUAUCAACGACAUCCAAUGUCCAUGGUCAGGAAACCGUAACCAUCUAUUGAUUAACGAGCUAGUCAACUAGAGGCUUACUAGGGACAUGGUGUUGUCUAUGUAUCCACACAUGUAUCUGAGUUUCCUAUCAAUACAAUUCUAGCAUGGAUAAUAAACGAUUAUCAUGAACAAGGAAAUAUAAUAAUCAAUUUAUUAUUGCCUCUAGGGCAUAUUUCCAACAGUCUCCCACUUGCACUAGAGUCAAUAAUCUAGUUCACAUCGAUAUGUGAUUAACACUCAAGGUCACAUCCCCAUGUGACUAACACCCAAAGAGUUUACUAGAGUCAAUAAUCUAGUUCACAUUUACCAUGUGAUUAACACUCGAUGAGUUCUGGGUUUGAUCAUGUUAUGCUUGUGAGAGAGGUUAUAGUCAACGGGUCUGAACCUUUCAGAUCCGUGUGUGCUUUACAAAUCUCUAUGUCAUCUCCUAGAUGCAGCUACCACGUUCUAUUUGGAGCAAUUCCAAAUAACUGUUCUACUUGGAGCUAUUCUAAAUUGUUGCUCCAUUAUACGUAUCCGGUAUCUCUACUCAGAGCUAUCCGGAUAGGUGUUAAGCUUGCAUCGACGUAACCCUUUACGACGAACUCUUUUACCACCUCCAUAAUUGAGAAAAUUCCUUAGUCCACUAGUUACUAAGGAUAACUUUGACCGCUGUCCUGUGAUCCAUUCUUGGAUCACUCUUGUACCCCUUGACUGACUCAUGGUAAAGCACACUUCAGGUGCGGUACACAGCAUAUCAUACUGUAGAGCCUAUGUCUUAAGCAUAGGGGACGACCUUCGUUCCUUUCUCUCUAUUCUGCCAUGGUCGAGCUUUAAGUCUUAACUUCAUACCUUACAACUCAGGCAAGAACUCCUUCUUUGACUGAUCCAUCUUGAACACCUUCAAGAUCAUGUCAAGGCAUGUGCUCAUUUGAAAGUACUAUUAAGCGUUUUGAUCUAUCCUUAUAGAUCUUGAUGCUCAAUGUUCAAGUAGCUUAAUCCAGGUUUUCCAUUGAAAACACUUUCCAAAUAACCCUAUAUGCUUUCCAGAAAAUUCUACGUCAUUUCUGAUCAUUAAUAUGUCAACAACAUAUACUCAUCAGAAAUUCUAUAGUGCUCCCACUCACUUCUUUGGAAAUACAAGUUUCUCAUAAACUUUGUAUACACCCAAAAUCUUUGAUCAUCAUCAAAGCAUACAUUCCAACUCCGAGAUGCUCACUCCAGUCCUCAGAAGGAUUGCUGGAGCUUUGCAUACUUAUUAGCAUAUUUCAGGAUAGACAAAACCUUCCGGUUGUAUCACAUACAACCUUUCCUCAAGAAUCGUCGAGGAAACAAUGUUUUGACAUCCUAUUUGCAAGAUUUCAUAAAUAAUGCAGUAAUUGCUAAUAUAAUUCCAACAGACUCUUAGCAUCGCUACGAGUGAGAAAGUCUCAUCGUAGUCAACUCCUUGAACUUGUCGAAAAACAUCUUAACGACAAGUCGAGCUUUCUCAAUGGUGACACUUACCAUCAUUGUCUGUCUUCCUUUCAAAAUCCAUAUGUACCUAACAGCCUUACGACCAUCAAGUAGUUCUUCCAAAGUCUACACUUUGUUUUCAUACAUGGAUCCUCUCUCGGGUUUUUUAUGGCCUUGAGCCAUUUAUCGGAAUCCGGGCCCACCAUCGCUUCUCCAUAGCUCGUAGGUUCAUUGUUGUCUAGCAACAUGACUUUCAAGAUAGGAUUAUUGUACCACUCUGAAGUAGUACAUAUCCUUGUCACCCUACGAGGUUCGGUAGUGACUUGAUCUGAAGUUUCAUGAUCACUAUCAUAAGCUUCUACUUCAAUUGGUGUAGGUGCCACAGGAACAACUUCCUGUGCCCUGCUACACACUGGUUGAAGUGAUGGUUCAAUAACCUCAUCAAGUCUCCACCAUCCUCCCACUCAAUUCUUUCGAGAGAAACCUUUCCUCGAGAAAGGACCCAAUUCUAGAAACAAUUCAUAUUGCUUUCGGAUCUGAAUUAGGAGGUAUACCCAACUGUUUUGGGUGUCCUAUGAAGAUGUACUUUAUCCGCUUUGGGUUCGAGCUUAAUCCUGAAACUUUUUUCACAUAAGCGUCGCAGCCCCAAACCUUUAAGAAACGACAACUUAGGUUUCUCUAAACCAUAAUUCAUACAGUGUCAUCUCAUCGGAAUUACGUGAUGCCCUAUUUAAAGUGAAUGUGGUUGUCUCUAAUGCCUAACCCAUAAACUAUAGUGGUACUUCGAUAAGAGACAUCAUGGUAUGCAUCAUAUCCAAUAGGGUGCAACUAUGACGUUUGGACACACCAUCACACUAUGGUGUUCCAGGCUGUAUCAGUUGUGAAACAAUUUCCAUAAUGUCUUAAUUCUGUGCCAAACUCGUGAUUCAGAUAUUUAUCUCUAUGAUCAUAUCAUAGAUCUUUUAUCCUCUUGUCACGACGAUCUUUCAACUUCACACUGAAAUUACUUGAACCUUUCAAUAAUUCAGACUCGUGAUUCAUCAAGUAAAUAUACUCAACAUCUACUUGAAUCAUCUGUGAAGUAAGAACAUAACGAUAUUCACUGCAUGCCUCAGCACUCAUUGGACUGCACACAUCAAAAUGUGUUACUUCCAACAAGUUGCUAUCUUGUUCCAUCUUACUGAAAACGAGGCUUUUCAGUCAUCUUGCCCAUGUGGUAUGAUUUGCAUGUCCCAAGUGAUUCAAAAUCAAGUGAGUCAAAACGGUCCAUUUGCAUGGAGUUUCUUCAUGCAUACACACCAAUAGACAUGGUUCGCAUGUCUCAAACUUUUCAAAAACGAGUGAGCCCAAAGAUCCAUCAAUAUGGAGCUUCUUCAUGCGUUUUAUACCGAUAUGACUUACGUGGCAGUGCCACAAGUAGGUGGUACUAUCAUUACUAUCUUUUGGCAUGAACAUGUGUAUCACUACGAUCGAGAUUUAAUAAACCAUUCAUUUUAGGUGUAAGACCAUUGAAGGUAUUAUUCAAAUAAACAGAGUAACCAUUAUUCUCCUUAAAUGAAUAACCGUAUUGCGAUAGAUGUAAUCCAAUCAUGUCUAUGCUCAACGCAAACACCAAAUAACAAUUAUUUAGGUUUAACACCAAUCUCUUUGGUAGAGGGAGCGUGCGAUGCUUGAUCAUAUCAAGCUUGGAAAAACUUCCAACACAUAUCGUCAGCUCACCUUUAGCUAGUCUCCGUUUAUUCCGUAGCCUUUUGUUUCGAGUUACUAACACUUAGCAACCGAACUGAUAUCUAAUACCCUGGUGCUACUAGGAGUACUAGCAAAGUACACAUUAACACAAUGUAUAUCCAAUAUACUUCUAUCGACCUUGCCAGCCUUCUUAUCUACCAAGUAUCUAGGGUAAUUCUGCUCUAGUGGUUGUUCCCCUUAUUACAGAAGCACUUAGUCUCGGGUUUGGGUUUUACCUUGGGUUUCUUCACUAGAGCAGCAGCUGAUUUGCCGUUUCAUGAAGUAUCCCUUCAUGCCCUUGCCCUUCUUGAAACUAGUGGUUUCACCAACCAUCAACAAUUGAUGCUCCUUCUUGAUUUCUACUUUCGCGGUGUCAAACAUCGCGAAUACCUCAAGGAUCAUCAUAUCUAUCCCUGAUAUGUUAUAGUUCAUCACGAAGCUCUAACAGCUUGGUGGCAAUGACUUUGGAGAACCAUCACUGUCUUAUCUGGAAGAACAACUCCCACUCGAUUCAAAUGAUUGUUGUACUCAGACAAUCUGAGCACAGGCUCAACAAUUGAGCUUUUCUCCUUAGUUUGCAGGUUAAGAAAGUCAUCGGAGGUCUUAUACCUCUUGACAUGGGCACGAGCCUGAAAUCCAAAUUUCAGCCCUCAAAACAUCUCAUAUGUUUCGCGACGUUUCAAAAUGUCUUUGGUGACUCAACUCUAAACCGUUUAACUGAACUAUCACGUAGUUAUCAAAACGUGUAUGUCAGAUGUUCGCAACAACCACAGACAACGUUCGAGGUUCAGCACACUGAGCGGUGCAUUAAGGACAUAAGCCUUCUAUGAAGCAAUGAGGACAAUCCUCAGUUUACGGACCUAGUCCGCAUAAUUGCUACUAUCAACUUUCAACUAAUUUUUCUCUAGGAACAUAUCUAAACAGUAGAAAUAUAGCAUGAGCUACGACAUAAUUUGCAAAAUCCUUUUGACUAUGUUCAGGAUAAUUAAGUUCAUCUUAUGAACUCCCACUCAGAUAGACAUCCCUCUAAUCAUCUAAGUGAUUACAUGAUCCGAGUCAAACUAGGCCGUGUCCGAUCAUCACGUGAGACGGACUAGUCAUCAUCGGUGAACAUCUUCAUGUUGAUCGUAUCUUCUAUACGACUCAUGUUCGACCUUUCGGUCUCCGUGUUCCGAGGCCAUGUCUGUACAUGCUAGGCUCGUCAAGUUAACCCUAAGUGUUUCGCGUGUGUAAAUCUGUCUUACACCCGUUGUAUGUGAACGUUAGAGUCUAACACCCGAUCAUCACGUGGUGCUUCGAAACACGAACUAUCGCAAUGGUGCACAGUUAGGGGAGAACAUUUCUUGAAAUUGUUGUAAGGGAUCAUCUUAUUUACUACCGUCGUUCGAAGCAAAUAAGAUGUAUAAACAUGAUAAACAUCACAUGCAAUCAAAUAGUGACAUGAUAUGGCCAUCAUCACUUUUCUCCUUUUGAUCUCCAUCUUCGGGGCUCCAUGAUCAUCAUCGUCACCGGCAUGACACCAUGAUCUCCAUCAUCAUGAUCUCCAUCAUCGUGUCUUCAUGAAGUUGCCUCGCCAACUAUUACUUCUACUACUAUGGCUAACGGUUAGCAAUAAAGUAAAGUAAUUACAUGACGUUUAAGUUGACACGCAGGUCACAAAUAAAUAAAGACAACUCCUAUGGCUCCUGCCGGUUGUCAUACUCAUCGACAUGCAAGUCGUGAUUCCUAUUACAAGAACAUGAUCAAUCUCAUACAUCACAUAUAUCAUUCAUCACAUCCUUUUUUGCCAUAUCACAUCACAUAGCAUACCCUGCAAAAACAAGUUAGACGUCCUCUAAUUGUUGUUUGCAUGUUUUACGUGGCUGCUAUGGGUUUCUAGCAAGAACGUUUCUUACCUACGCAUGAACCACAACGUGAUAUGCCAAUUGCUAUUUACCCUUCAUAAGGACCCUUUUCAUCGAAUCCGAUCCGACUAAAGUGGGAGAGACAGACACCCGCCAGCCACCUUAUGCAACUAGUGCAUGUUUGUCGGUGGAACCGGUCUCACGUAAGCGUACGUGUAAGGUUGGUCCGGGCCGCUUCAUCCCACGAUGCCGCCGAAUCAAGAUAAGACUAGUAACGGCAAGCAUAUUGAACAAUAUCGACGCCCACAACUACUUUGUGUUCUACUCGUGCAAAGAAUCUACGCAAUAGACCUAGCUCAUGAUGCCACUGUUGGGUAACGUAGCAGAAAUUCAAAAUUUUCCUAUGUGUCACCAAGAUCUAUCUAUGGAGAAACCAGCAACGAGGGGAAGGAGAGUGCAUCUACAUACCCUUGUAGAUCGCUAAGCGGAAGCGUUCAAGUGAACGGGGUUGAUGUAGUCGUACUCGUCGUGAUUCAAAUCACCGAUGAUCUAGUGCCGAACGGACAGCACCUCCGCGUUCAACACACGUACAGCUCGACGAUGUCUCCCACGCCUUGAUCCAGCAAGGAGAGAGGGAGAGGUUGAGGAAGACUCCAUCCAGCAGCAGCACAACGGCGUGGUGGUGAUGGAGGAGCGUGGCAAUCCUGCAGGGCUUCGCCAAGCACCUACGGGAGAGGAGGAGGUGUCACGGGAGGGAGGGAGGCGCCAAGGGCUCAGGUAUGGAUGCCCUCCCUCCCCUCCACUAUAUAUAGGGGCAGGGGAGAGGGGGAAGGCGCAGCCUUGCCCCUUCCUCCAAGGAAGGGGUGCGGCUAAGAGGGGGGGAGGAGUCCAUCCUCCCCAAGGCACCUCGGAGGUGCCUUCCCCCUUUAGGACUCUCCCCUUUUUCCUAUAUCUUGGCGCAUGGGCCUCUAGGGGCUGGUGCCCUUGGCCCAUGUAGGCCAAGGCGCACCCCCUACAGCCCAUGUGAUCCCCCGGGGCAGGUGGCCCCACCCGGUGGGCCCCCGGGACCCAUCCGGUGGUCCCGGUACAAUACCGAUGACCCCGAAACUUGUCCCGAUGGCCGAAACAGGACUUCCUAUAUAUAAAUCUUUACCUCCGGACCGUUCCGGAACUCCUCGUGACGUCCGAGAUCUCAUCCGGGACUCCGAACAACAUUCGGUAACCACAUACAAGCUUCCUUUAUAACCCUAGCGUCAUCAAACCUUAAGUGUGUAGACCCUACGGGUUCGGGAGACAUGCAGACAUGACCGAGAUGUUCUCCGGUCAAUAACCAACAGCGGGAUCUGGAUACCCAUGUUGGCUCCCACAUGUUCCACGAUGAUCUCAUCGGAUGAACCACGAUGUCAAGGACUCAAUCGAUCCCGUAUACAAUUCCCUUUGUCUAGCGGUAUGGUACUUGCCCGAGAUUCGAUCGUCGGUAUACCGAUACCUUGUUCAAUCUCGUUACCGGCAAGUCUCUUUACUCGUUCCGUAACACAUCAUCCCGUGAUCAACCCCUUGGUCACAUUGUGCACAUUAUGAUGAUGUCCUACCGAGUGGGCCCAGAGAUACCUCUCCGUUUACACGGAGUGACAAAUCCCAAUCUCGAUUCGUGCCAACCCAACAGACACUUUCAGAGAUACCCGUAGUGUACCUUUAUAGCCACCCAGUUACGUUGUGACGUUUGGCACACCCAAAGCACUCCUACGGUAUCCGGGAGUUGCACAAUCUCAUGGUCUAAGGAAAUGAUACUUGACAUUAGAAAAGCUUUAGCAUACGAACUACAUGAUCUUGUGCUAGGCUUAGGAUUGGGUCUUGUCCAUCACAUCAUUCUCCUAAUGAUGUGAUCCCGUUAUCAACGACAUCCAAUGUCCGUGGUCAGGAAACCGUAACCAUCUAUUGAUUAACGAGCUAGUCAACUAGAGGCUUACUAGGGACAUGGUGUUGUCUAUGUAUCCACACAUGUAUCUGAGUUUCCUAUCAAUACAAUUCUAGCAUGGAUAAUAAACGAUUAUCAUGAACAAGGAAAUAUAAUAAUAAUCAAUUUAUUAUUGCCUCUAGGGCAUAUUUCCAACAGAUUUGCCCCUACCCACCGGCCAUGUAGCCUAGCUAGACAGAGCAUCGUCGAGGACCGGGCAAGAUGGGACUGGUGGCGACGGCUCGCUGGAGGAACGCUAGUGUUGCAGGCAGGGGAUCGAGGUAGAGGGAAAGGGGAGAGGAGAUGAGAGCAGGCAGGGCAAUGAACGCUUGCGUGUUUGUUUUUACUUGAGUGUGAGGUGUGACGCGGGCGUUAGCAGUUGCAUUUUGAGUGUAAUAUAGGCAGACAACAGAGUCAUUUGACUAUUCCCCUUCCCUUCAAUUUUUAGUGAGGUUCUACCCGAAACACCCCCCUCCAAAGCGAAAUUAGUUAAGCCCAAGCCCAUAACUCAAAAAUGACUUCUUUACAUCUUUUGUGGCUUAUUUUGACAUUAAGCCCUGAAAAGGCAGAAUAGAGCUGGCCCUUAACCUGCAAUUCAAUUGUGCGUGCAAUGAUGAAUCACUCAUGCCUGCUAUAGUGUACAUUUAGGCAUCAUCAUACAUGGCAUAACAUAAUACAUGUGUAUUCCAUUGUAGAAUCUGGAAUAUGCAAUAUUUAUGUUAGUUCAUAUGUUGCACAUGAUGUUUAAAUGCCCCUUAAAUCUGGUCAGUCAAGUGAUGGUCUUUAAACCUCCUUCUUUGCUUCUUUUCUUGAUAUGUAACAUUUGCUCACACAUCUGUUCAAUUGCUUGUUUGCAUCACCCAGCCAUACUAGGACUGUUUGCUUUGAUUACUUAUUGUUCUUGACCUAACACUCUAACAGAGCUUGCCAAUGAUUUAAACACUAAGGGCUGUUGUAGUGGGGCCUUUCUAACUCAUAGGUGACAUAAAGGUUUGGUUGUACACUAAAGUAGGCUCUCCAAGAUUGCCUGGAGAUCCAGUUCGAAGGUAUGCCUAGUUUUUACAUAGUGCAGACAUAGUAAAUACUCAUUUCAUUGUGUGCAAGUGCAAGAGAUGCGGCAUGUUUCAUUAUAUGGUGUUGUUUUGUUAUAAUCUCAUCCUUUUGUGUUCACAGACUGGAAAGUAUGCAUAUUUAUCUUCCAAGGAGACGAGUAACAAGUUUGUGUCACCUUGCAGAGGGGGUGCGAUGAAGAUAAGAUUGAGGAUUUCGAAGUACAAGAUGUUAGGAAGGAGUCUUGCAAGAGAAGUAGGAGUUGCGCCUGAGCCUCUUCAACCUGUUAAGGUAAGUCACUGUAUCCAACUCAACAGUUCAAUUCCUUGUUUGUUUCAGGCAUAGUUAAUUUGCUCUUUUCAAUUGCUUUAUUUGUUCUCAGUUAAUGAGAUGCCCAAAUAAUGAUGCCUCAUGUUGGGUACUUGUAUAACUAUUAGUUGACAUAAUUAAAGGCCUUACCAUUUAAUUACUCUGCCAAAGUGUGCCUGAAGCUUUGAAGUCUAUUAACCAACUAUUAUUGCAUGAGGCUCACAAUCUAGUUUAUACUAGGCUAAUGAUUGCAUAGUUUUGCUUGUUGUAGUAUGUUUGUAUGAAACCCUCUGCUGUUCAUUAUGCUUCCUAAGACUUUAAUUGAGCUACAUAAUGGCCAACUGCUUGCUUACUUCUACGCAAUAUGCUGUCUAAAUUUGUAACUUGUCUGUGUUUUGGAUUGGGCCCAACAUCAUGCUCCUCUGGUGAGCUAAGAGAGAUUUCUGUAUGCAGGUUGCACAGACUAACUUUUUAUAUUUUUAAAAUAUCAUCUACUUAUGCUUCAUGAUGUGUAACAUUAUUGUUAGUCUUGUUUUGCCAUGUACAAAAUAGUCUGUCUUGCUCUCUUCACUGUUGUAACUAUAUUUUUUCCCUAGUCAUGUGUACUUACAGAAACAUUUCAGGAUGAAGUGACAUCAACACAAAGAUCUGCGAGCAGUGCAGCAUGGCUGUUCCCGAAUGGUUAUGGAUUGGAAUUGGAAUGUGCUGAUGUUCUCGAGCAUCAACUAGAGGUGGCAAGACAACGUGUACAUGAUUCUCAACGUACAAUCAACAAGUUGAGACUGGACAUGCAGGUAUUAGAUGCAGGAGUCAAAAAAAUGAAACAAGACACUGAGGUAACAACGAAGGAAUUGAAGAUUUUGCAGACUGAAAUUUGUGCUAUCUAAAUCUGGCCAAUCCUAUUUUCUGAAGAGAUUAUAGUUCAAAUAGUAAGUUAUGUUGAUGCGCGUCCAUGAUGUAGGAGUUGUAUUUACCCAAUGUAUGUAAUUUGCUAUUUGUGUAUGCUUUAUUAUCACUGGUGCCGAACCAUAAUGCCCAGUGGGUAUAAUCGGCUGUAAUUUCUUUAUUGUAUAGUGUAGGAUUAUUCUAUGUUUCUAUGCCUUAGUCUCUUUAUUGUAUAGUGUAUGUUUUUUAGAUGUGAUAGUAUAGAGUAGGAUAAUUCUUUGAAUAUGCUAUAUCGUUCAAACGGGGGCCAACUCGCCCAAACAUUGUAGUGACCAUAGCCCUCCACAGGUCGUACGAUCCAUGGGCCAUCUACGGGGCGGACGAUCCAUGGCCUUCUAUGGCCGUCGGAUCCAGGGGCCUUCUAUGGGCCGUCAGAUCAAUGAGCCUUCUAUGGGCCGUCGGAUCAAUGGGCCUUCUACGGGCCGUCUCAUCUAUGGGCCUUGUACGGGCCGUAUAAGGGGCCGUAAACGGGCUAGAGUGGAAAUCAUACAUUUUAUGGGCUGAUCAUAACGGGCCGUUAAUAGGCCGUAUUUGAUGAUGCUAUGAAAAUGGCCUAACAGAUUAACGGGCCACAAAUGAGCCGACUGUAUCCACGGGCUGAAUUUGGCCCACAAGCAAAAAAGGCCAGUAACAAGCUGUAAGUAACCUAAUACUGGAAAUGAGCCCAAGAAUAAAUGGGCCUUGACAAGGCCGAAAGGCAACAUGGGCGGGAAAUGACCCACUGGAAUAAUGGGCCGCUAAUGGGUAUAAAGCGAUACACUGUUCAUUACGGGCCGGUUUCACCACGGGCCAUUAAUGGGCCAAGAGUUACAAAGGGACUCAUAUGGGCCGCAAUACGUCAUGGGCCAUACAUGGGCCGGAAGUUACAACGGGUUAGAAUCAUAUUGGACGGCCCAGAUGACGCUACUGGGCCUAAUUCCGGUAGGCCGUAACGGGUCGUGAGUUAGCGGGCUGUAAAUGGGCUAUAUGUGAACAUGACGUUAACAGGCUUUCCGUGGGCCGGCCGCCACCUUUUGACCAAGUCAAACAGGCCGGCCUUUUCACAGGAAUGGGUCUCUGUUGGGCCGUGCCACGUGUCGACGUAUCAUAGGCGCCUUGGGUCCAAUGAGUGGAUGACAUCUGUCCCAACGGUGAGCGGACACGUGUUUCCUCCAGCCAUUGAUGAUUUACACGUGGAAAAUCCCCAUUGGUCGGGGCUGUUAACGGGUUAUCGGAUCCAAAAUCGGACCCGGUAGCUUAACAACGUUCCGUUAUGGUGGAUGCCACGUGUCGGUCCCCCUUGAGGAAAGCACUUCUACGACGCGCGAUUUAUCGUCAUGGAAAUGGACACUUCAGUGAUGAUAAUUUUGGUAAUGUCAUGGAACACUUAUACGACAGCACAGGUAUGACUAUCUUAAUUCUUUCAUAAAAUCGUCAUGGAUGUACAUGCAUGACAAAAAACGCGACCUACUAUGACAAACAUGUAUCAUCACGGAAGUAUAUUUUUUUGUAGUGUACGACGAAGACGUAUCAAUCAUCACCAAAUUGUCAUCAAUGAAAUAAGACAGAACACCAUAGGCCAUCAUGCACAAAGCGACAAUAACCUUCUGCUCGGUGCUAUGUCCAAAUAAACCAGCAUAAUUCCUUCUCUACUCAAAGGAUCGAUCAUGCUGCUUCACGGAAUUGCAAAUCUGGAUGAACAAAUAUUUGGACAUUUUGAGGCGGCGACGAAAGUACCUCUUUGAAAAAACGGACGAUGUGUACUAAAAUAGUUGUGGAUAAACCUCUCAUGCACCUUAACCCAUUCUCUCCGGAUGAACUCACGGCCAAACACGGAACUACCGUGCUUCGGCUUCUUCCACUUGUGCAAUGCCACUAAUAUAGCAAUGUUCUCUUCUUCGAUCGGGUCAAAUUCCUCAUCCGACGAGGAAUCAUCCAUGAAAGAGAAAUAGCAUGAGCUCAUAUACAAUACAGAAAUCACCGUCAAACUACAUCUUCAUGCCCGAUAAAAAAACUUCCUACUUUGCAUGUUUUUUUACCUUGAGGAAUUUGCUCGAACAUGUUCCAAGUGAGGUGGAAGCAAUCGGCCGACGGCGGGUCGGGGCGUGGGCGGGGCUACAGACUGCAGAUGGCAGGGGGUGGCGGCUGCAGUUGGCCUCUGGACGGCCGCCUAGCUGCUAGAGGACCUGCUCGCAGCGACGCAUCGGCGGGGGCAAUAAACGAGAAACCGUUGGCUCGGGCGGUUGCGGUGGUCGCGCGACAGUCCCUUUUUAGCCCCGGCGGCUGGUAACUGCUACAAGAAGGUGGCCGAUAGGUUCUACAGCCAUUACGGCCGACGAAGCUCCGGCGAAUUUCCAAAUCGGUCGUGCGGUCAUCGGCGGGGAGGAAUUAGAUCGGCAUCGGCUACAUUGGUGCAGCCGGCGUGGGGAUAGGCGGCGGGGUCGGGGAUGGGCCGACAGGUGGCGGCGGUGCGUUUUCGGGCGUAAAUCGCCAACGGGCGGGCGGACGAAAGUGAAAUGAAGGGCCGUUGGGCGGUUGAUGUGCCACUGCAGUUUUACAUCACCUGGAGGUGGAGAUGCAUCUCCAAGUGUUAUAUUUUACAGCACUUGGAGGAGGUGAUGUAUUUUAUUUUAUUUUUGGGAAACGUUUCCACCCGGUGCGCUGGCCGAAAUGUUGGUUCGGAUGCACGCAGACGUUAGACAUGGUGGGGCCAGGCGGUGCUUUUUCUUCUCCCGAUCCCCUUGUCUCUUCCAGCUUUCAUGCCCAGCACACAGAGUGUUCGCUCUCCUCCACUCAUUCCCCUUCCUUCCUCCAUCUUCUUUUUCCCUUCCACCUUUCCAUGCCGGAGCACAAGUCAAGGACAUUGCCUCUUUUUUCACUGCUGGCCAAGACCGUCCUGAGUUGCCACCGGCAAAAUAGAGGAGUGGCGGUGCUGCAGAUUUGGAGCAGAAAGAGCGGUGUUGUGGAGACAACUCUGCGAUGCGGGGCGGGGAGAAGAGUUGCAAGUUUCUGCAACAUGUGGAGCUGGAAGCUCAACUGGCAGGCGCGCGACCACGCCGGUGACUCCUCGAUGUUGUAACUGGCGGUGUUGAAAGCUUCUACCAGCGUGCAAAAGAGCUACAACCGGCAACGACGAAAGCUGCAAUCGGGCGGCCAUGCCGACCACGUCGGUGACCACCGAUGUUGCAACUGGCGGAGCUAAAAGCUUCUACCGACGAGCUAAAAAGCUACGACCGGCAACAACAAAAGCUGCAUCACCAAAAGCUGCAACCGGCAGUGAACCAUGGCCGGGGACGGCGUCCACAGGAUGCUACGUGCAGCGACGCGUGGACGCUGCAACGACCAGAAUAAGAUGCUGGAACCGUCUAUUCAAAAAGCUUCCACCGACAAAAAGGAAAGCUACUACCGAGGCAGCUGCUACAACCCGGCGACAACUGAGUGCUGCCGAGGAAGCUUCAACCGGCGUCACAAAAAGCAUCAACCACGACGACAUAUGCCGGGGCUGGCUACUGCCAAUACCAAAAAAGCUACAACCAACGUCCCAAAAAGCUCCAACCACGACCAUGGAUGCUAGCCCUGGCCACUGCCACAUGAAAAAGCUGCAAGGGACGAGAAAGAAAACUACAAUCGGCGUCGCAAAAAGCUACAACCAACGACGGCGGAAAGCUAUGGCUGGGCGUUGACAAAAGCUGCAAGCGCCCCUGAGAAAACUUCAACCGGCGAACGAGGGAGCUACAUCCACACCCUGGAGAUGCUGGAACCGGUCUUCAGGGAUGCUACUACGGAAUAUGCUGGAGCCGGUAUGCUACAACCGUGACUUGAAGAAGCUGGAACCGGCUUGUGUGGAUGCUACAACCAUGGUUGGAUGAGCGGACCAGCGAGCUGAUGUGUGGAUGUGGCGACGAGCGCACCGGCGAGCUACUUCCAUCACUAGUCGCAUGGGUGAAACCGGCGGCGAGGACGGCCGGUGAGGGUGGCGACCAGCGCCAAGGACGGCCGGCGAGGGUGGCGGCCGGCAACGAGGACGGGCCGGCGAGGGCGACGUCCACAGAAGGUGUGACCUGGCGAGAUGAGGGGACCGACAAGAUGUGGGGGACCAUUCGUACGAACUCAUGAAGAAGACGCAGUGGACGGUUACGAUCCACGAAAUCGGACGGCUGCGGGCCGACUGGCCCAAAUUUGGACCGGUGCGUCGGCGUCUAUCACUGGCCUUUAUUUUUUACAUCUACAUCAUCUGUUGGAGGUGUUUUUUUGCCUAGGAGAUGUAUAAGUUUUUUUUUGAAACAAGAUAGAAGAUGUAUAAGUUAGUUAUUUAUAAAAUACAUCUACAUGGUGUAUUGGAGAUGUUCUUAACAGCCGCAUGCAGCUAAUUAACCAAACAUGCAUGCAUGCUGACUGCUCAUCGGUGCACCCGCUCCAUCUCUAAACAGCUUGCCAAAUCACUCUAACACGAAUCGUAAUGACUUGAUGCAAACACUGAUGCAAACUAGCUAACACACUCAUAGAGCACGCGCAUGUGUGUAGAACCAAUAUCAAGAUUAGUGCACUAUAGACAAGUUCGAAACAAGGGUCUCAACUCCAUUCCAGAAAAGAAAAACAAGGGUCUCAACUCCGUUCCAGAAAAGAACACAACAAAAUUUGCUAAACUCAUUCGCGAGGUUGCUGGUCUUGCCCGACGCACUGCUUUGUUCAUCGUGACGACACGGACCCAAGCGAAUCAUCUAACCAUGCAUAAACCUGGGAACAGUUUGGACACAAACCACAAUUUCAAAUCGGUUUUCCUAUUGGUCUCUUUUGGUUUCGAUUAAAUGGGCCGAGCUCCUAAUGUAAGCUGGUUUGGUUUGGGCUUUUCCUAUUAUCGGUUCAGUCUGGUUCGGUCUGGUCACAGAACAAACAGUCUCAAACCAUUCUAACCCAUGGACGGAGAACUAAAUCAGGGACCAGGUUAGGGUCCCGAUCAAAGCAAUCACCCUUGUUUUUGCCGGGAAAAGCAAUACCCAUUGGCAACGUCUUCCUUGUCGUCUCCACUACUGGUGCCGAUGAUGAUGCUCCUGCUCGCCAUGUCACGUCCAUGCUCUAGUAGAGACACAAACCAGCAUCGACCAGGUUCUGGCGGCCUCGUCCCGCACGCCUCCGCCUGCUACGCCAUGGCCACCGCUGGCUGCUCCUCCUUGGCGACAUGGAGCCUUGCACAGUGCCGCGGUGACGUCGCGCGGUAGGACUGCAUGCUCUGGUUGGCCGUGGCGGUGCGGACACGGGCUACAUGCUCAGCCUUCUCAACACCCAGAACGCCACCGGCAUGGGCUGAUGUAUCUGGUGGCGUUCAACCAAGCGCAAUGAAGCUCAUGUCCAACGACUCCGGUGACGGUGCGAACAAGGGGCUGGCGAUGGGCAUGGCGCAGCUCGGUGGCGGCGGAGGCGGUGGCGAACUGCAGGCUGUGUGUGGCGCAGGCCGUGGCCGAACUGCUCAACUACUGCCAGACAGUGUGAUAUACAACAGUCACAUGGCGCCCUACGAGGUGCCCCUUCUUCCCGCUCGACGGCGCCGGCGAGUUGGCCGACGAGGUCGGACAGUGCGAACAAGAUCGUCUUAUACCGCGAUGGACGGAGUGCAGCUAGUCAUAUAUAGUACUCCCUCCGUUCCUAAAUAUUUGUCUUUUUAGACAUUUCAAAUUACUACUACAUACGAAUGUAUGUAGACAUAUUUUAGAGUGUAGAUUCACUCAUUUUGCUCCGUAUGUAGUCAUUUGUUGAAAUGCCUAGUAGACAAGUAUUUAGGAACGGAGGGAGUAUCUAGCAUUAUAGCUUGUUCUAUGUACGUACGUUGUGGUGGUGAGUAACAUGCAGCAGCAGCUAAUCACCCUUCCAACGCCUCUCUUCCCAUAGUAAUUGGACACGCCCUUGGUUUGAAACUUCAGAUUGAAAUUGUAUGUGGGGACUGGGUUGGAUGGGUUUGGCUUGAAAAUACGUACAGUUUGGAUUGGUUUGGAUUAUAGCAUUUGCAGUUUGGUCUGGUCUGGUCUGAUUGUUGGACUUAUACUUGUAUGGAUUGGGCUGGGUUUAAUCUGGAUUACAAACUAUUCCCAGGUUUA